This 28-nucleotide non-coding RNA is filed under the name Mus musculus (house mouse). The record is from RNAcentral. Lineage: Eukaryota; Metazoa; Chordata; Mammalia; Rodentia; Muridae.
UGGUGCUGUCUUUGUGAAGACUUCAUGA